CCUGGCUCAGAGUGAACGCUGGCGGCAGGCCUAACACAUGCAAGUCGAGCGGCAGCGCGGGGGCAACCCUGGCGGCGAGCGGCGGACGGGUGAGGAAUGCGUCGGAAUCUGCCUUUUUGUGGGGGAUAACGUAGGGAAACUUACGCUAAUACCGCAUACGACCUACGGGUGAAAGUGGGGGACCGCAAGGCCUCACGCAGAAAGAUGAGCCGACGCCGGAUUAGCUAGUUGGCGGGGUAAAGGCCCACCAAGGCGACGAUCCGUAGCUGGUCUGAGAGGAUGAUCAGCCACACUGGAACUGAGACACGGCCCAGACUCCUACGGGAGGCAGCAGUGGGGAAUAUUGGACAAUGGGCGCAAGCCUGAUCCAGCCAUGCCGCGUGUGUGAAGAAGGCCUUCGGGUUGUAAAGCACUUUUGUCCGGAAAGAAAUCCCAUCGAUUAAUACCCGGUGGGGAUGACGGUACCGGAAGAAUAAGCACCGGCUAACUACGUGCCAGCAGCCGCGGUAAUACGUAGGGUGCGAGCGUUAAUCGGAAUUACUGGGGCGUAAAGCGUGCGCAGGCGGUUUUGUAAGCCAGAUGUGAAAUCCCCGGGCUUAACCUGGGAACUGCAUUUGGGACUGCAAGGCUUGAGUGCGGCAGAGGAGACUGGAAUUCCUGGUGUAGCAGUGAAAUGCGUAGAUAUCAGGAGGAAUACCGAUGGCGAAGGCAGGUCUCUGGGCUGACACUGACGCUCAUGCACGAAAGCGUGGGGGAGCAAACAGGGAUUAGAUACCCCUGGUAGUCCCACGGCCCUAAAACGAUGGUCGACUGGUUUGUUGGGGGGUUUGACACUCUCAGUAACGAAGGCUAACGGCGUGAAGUCGACCGCCUGGGGNAGUACGGGCCCGCNAGGUUUAAAAACUCCAAGGAAAUUGGACGGGGNCUCGCCCACAAGGCCGG
This 942-nucleotide ribosomal RNA is filed under the name uncultured bacterium. Its description in RNAcentral is "bacterial SSU rRNA". It matches the Rfam family "Bacterial small subunit ribosomal RNA", at positions 18 to 936 of the family's 1533-position model. The record is from RNAcentral.